RNAcentral lists this ribosomal RNA (433 nucleotides) under uncultured bacterium. RNAcentral's name for it is "partial 16S ribosomal RNA". It matches the Rfam family "Bacterial small subunit ribosomal RNA", at positions 29 to 507 of the family's 1533-position model. The record is from RNAcentral.
AACGAACGCUGGCGGCAUGCCUAACACAUGCAAGUCGAACGAGACCUUCGGGUCUAGUGGCGCACGGGUGCGUAACGCGUGGGAACCUGCCCUUAGGUUCGGAAUAACUCCCCGACAGGGGUGCUAAUACCGGAUAAUGUCUUCGGACCAAAGAUUUAUCGCCUUUGGAUGGGCCCGCGUUGGAUUAGCUAGUUGGUAGGGUAAAAGCCUACCAAGGCGACGAUCCAUAGCUGGUCUGAGAGGAUGAUCAGCCACACUGGGACUGAGACACGGCCCAGACUCCUACGGGAGGCAGCAGUGGGGAAUAUUGGACAAUGGGCGAAAGCCUGAUCCAGCAAUGCCGCGUGAGUGAUGAAGGCCUUAGGGUUGUAAAGCUCUUUUACCCGGGAUGAUAAUAACAGUACCGGGAGAAUAAGCUCCGGCUAACUCCGUG